CGGCAGGCUUACACAUGCAAGUCGAGCGGGGGAAGGUAGCUUGCUACUGGACCUAGCGGCGGACGGGUGAGUAAUGCUUAGGAAUCUGCCUAUUAGUGGGGGACAACAUCUCGAAAGGGAUGCUAAUACCGCAUACGUCCUACGGGAGAAAGCAGGGGAUCUUCGGACCUUGCGCUAAUAGAUGAGCCUAAGUCGGAUUAGCUAGUUGGUGGGGUAAAGGCCUACCAAGGCGACGAUCUGUAGCGGGUCUGAGAGGAUGAUCCGCCACACUGGGACUGAGACACGGCCCAGACUCCUACGGGAGGCAGCAGUGGGGAAUAUUGGACAAUGGGGGGAACCCUGAUCCAGCCAUGCCGCGUGUGUGAAGAAGGCCUUAUGGUUGUAAAGCACUUUAAGCGAGGAGGAGGCUACUCUAGUUAAUACCUAGGGAUAGUGGACGUUACUCGCAGAAUAAGCACCGGCUAACUCUGUGCCAGCAGCCGCGGUAAUACAGAGGGUGCGAGCGUUAAUCGGAUUUACUGGGCGUAAAGCGUGCGUAGGCGGCUUAUUAAGUCGGAUGUGAAAUCCCCGAGCUUAACUUGGGAAUUGCAUUCGAUACUGGUGAGCUAGAGUAUGGGAGAGGAUGGUAGAAUUCCAGGUGUAGCGGUGAAAUGCGUAGAGAUCUGGAGGAAUACCGAUGGCGAAGGCAGCCAUCUGGCCUAAUACUGACGCUGAGGUACGAAAGCAUGGGGAGCAAACAGGAUUAGAUACCCUGGUAGUCCAUGCCGUAAACGAUGUCUACUAGCCGUUGGGGCCUUUGAGGCUUUAGUGGCGCAGCUAACGCGAUAAGUAGACCGCCUGGGGAGUACGGUCGCAAGACUAAAACUCAAAUGAAUUUGACGGGGGCCCGCACAAGCGGUGAGCAUGUGG
RNAcentral lists this ribosomal RNA (909 nucleotides) under Acinetobacter baumannii. RNAcentral's name for it is "bacterial SSU rRNA". It matches the Rfam family "Bacterial small subunit ribosomal RNA", at positions 40 to 944 of the family's 1533-position model. The record is from RNAcentral. Lineage: Bacteria; Pseudomonadati; Pseudomonadota; Gammaproteobacteria; Moraxellales; Moraxellaceae.